AAAAGCGGAGGAAAAGAAACCAACAGGGAUUGCCUUAGUAGCGGCGAGUGAAGCGGCAAAAGCUCAAAUUUGAAAUCUGGCGCCUUCGGUGUCCGAGUUGUAAUUUGAAGAUUGUAACCUUGGGGUUGGCUCUUGUCUAUGUUUCUUGGAACAGGACGUCACAGAGGGUGAGAAUCCCGUGCGAUGAGAUGCCCAAUUCUAUGUAAGGUGCUUUCGAAGAGUCGAGUUGUUUGGGAAUGCAGCUCUAAGUGGGUGGUAAAUUCCAUCUAAAGCUAAAUAUUGGCGAGAGACCGAUAGCGAACAAGUACAGUGAUGGAAAGAUGAAAAGAACUUUGAAAAGAGAGUGAAAAAGUACGUGAAAUUGUUGAAAGGGAAGGGUUUGAGAUCAGACUCGAUAUUUUGUGAGCCUUGCCUUCGUGGCGGGGUGACCCGCAGCUUAUCGGGCCAGCAUCGGUUUGGGCGGUAGGAUAAUGGCGUAGGAAUGUGACUUUACUUCGGUGAAGUGUUAUAGCCUGCGUUGAUGCUGCCUGCCUAGACCGAGGACUGCGAUUUUAUCAAGGAUGCUGGCAUAAUGAUCCCAAACCGCCCGUCUUGA
This 595-nucleotide ribosomal RNA is filed under the name Pichia sp. H9. RNAcentral describes it as "eukaryotic LSU rRNA". It matches the Rfam family "Eukaryotic large subunit ribosomal RNA", at positions 46 to 657 of the family's 3401-position model. The record is from RNAcentral. Lineage: Eukaryota; Fungi; Ascomycota; Pichiomycetes; Pichiales; Pichiaceae.